UUGCAAAAGAGGGCAACUACUUUUUGGCUCCAAAGAAAGAACUUUCGAAUAUAAAAUCCAAAAUCCAGAACAUUCUGAACCCAAUAAAAUUCCGGACUUGCACUAAAAAAAUUGCAUCUUCCACCUUCUUUCACAACCUGUUUCCUGAAUCCAGCGAGCCCCAACCCUAGAAUUCUACCAUGUCCAGCAAGCAAGGUGGAAAAGCAAAGCCUCUGAAGCAACCUAAGCUCGAGAAGAAAGAAUACGACGAGAUCGACAAGAUUAAUCUUCAAAAAAAGAAGGAAGAAGAAAAGGCACUUAAGGAGCUCAAGGCAAAGGCUCAGCAGAAGGGAGCUUUUGGAGGUGCUGGUUUGAAGAAGAGCAGCAAAAAAUGAGUCCUGCUAAAAGCUAAUUCGACCAAUGGAAAAUUUUCUUGUCAUUGUGCCGUUGUAUUCUUGACUCCUGGUAUACGUUCUAACCCCGUUAGCUUGUGGUUAUUGAUGGUUGGUAAUAUCAAACUUAUCAGGAGCAUUUCUAUGUAAAAUUGUGUCCCGCGUAUUAAUAGAUCAAUACUACUGUUGCUUGUAA
Sesamum indicum (sesame) is the source of this 567-nucleotide long non-coding RNA. RefSeq lists it as uncharacterized. NCBI's taxonomy places the organism in Eukaryota, Viridiplantae, Streptophyta, Magnoliopsida, Lamiales, Pedaliaceae. The record is from RefSeq and is a predicted model, not a curated record.